UCCCUGGUGUCUCAGUUGGUAAAGAAUCUGCCUGCACUGUAGGAGACCUGGAUUCAAUCCCUGGCUUGGGAA
Non-coding RNA from Bos taurus (domestic cattle), 72 nucleotides. Lineage: Eukaryota; Metazoa; Chordata; Mammalia; Artiodactyla; Bovidae. The record is from Rfam.